UCCGGUUUGGCACCGGCAGUCUUCCUAGAGUCCCCACCAUGACGUGCUGGCAACAUAGGACGAGGGUUGCGCUCGUUGCGGGACUUAACCCAACAUCUCACGACACGAGCUGACGACAACCAUGCACCACCUGUGCACGGACUCCGAAGAGGAACCGAUGUUUCCACCGGCUUUCCCGUGCAUGUCAAGCCCAGGUAAGGUUCUUCGCGUUGCUUCGAAUUAAACCACAUGCUCCACCGCUUGUGCGGGCCCCCGUCAAUUCCUUUGAGUUUCAGCCUUGCGGCCGUACUCCCCAGGCGGGGCACUUACUGCGUUAGCGACGGCACCGGGAGGGUCGCUCCCCCCGACGCCUAGUGCCCAUCGUUUACGGCGUGGACUAC
Molecule: unclassified non-coding RNA, 380 nt
Filed under: uncultured Gemmatimonadaceae bacterium
Lineage: Bacteria; Pseudomonadati; Gemmatimonadota; Gemmatimonadia; Gemmatimonadales; Gemmatimonadaceae
Description: contains 16S-23S intergenic spacer region
Source: RNAcentral